RNAcentral lists this ribosomal RNA (1944 nucleotides) under Triticum aestivum (bread wheat). RNAcentral describes it as "partial small subunit ribosomal RNA". The record is from RNAcentral. Lineage: Eukaryota; Viridiplantae; Streptophyta; Magnoliopsida; Poales; Poaceae.
AUGCCGGUCGUCGACGUGCCCGAGACGCCGGUGGCGACGGGGGCGCCGCGCGUGCCCGUGCCCCCGGCACGGCCGUUCCUCCACAUCCUCGGCGCCCACCUGAGGGAGACCUUCUUUCCCGACGAUCCGUUCCGAGCGGUGGCGCGGGAGGACGGGCACGGCCGGCGCGCCGUGGCCGCGCUCCGCUACCUGUUCCCGUGCCUGCAGUGGCUACCGUGCUACACCCUCGGCGCGCUCCGGUCCGACCUCAUCGCCGGUGUCACCGUAGCCAGCCUCGCCGUCCCCCAGGGCAUCAGCUACGCCAAGCUCGCCGAUCUCCCGCCCAUCAUGGGACUAUACUCUAGCUUCGUGCCGGCGCUGGUAUACGCGGUGAUGGGAAGCUCCAGGGACCUGGCGGUGGGGACGACGGCGGUGGGGUCGCUGCUGUUCCCUGCGUUGCUGGGGAAGGAGGCGCCGCCGGCGGAGAACCCGGAGCUGUACAUGCACCUGGCCUUCACGGCCACCUUCUUCGCCGGCGUGUUCCAGACAGGCCUUGGCAUCCUCAGGCUGGGCUUCGUGGUGGACUUUUUGUCGCAGGCCGCCAUCGUCGGGUUCAUGGGCGGCGCCGCCACGGUGGUGUGCCUGCAGCAGCUCAAGGGCCUCCUGGGCCUCCAGCACUUCACCAGGGCCACGGACGUCGUCGCCGUCAUGCGCGCGGUCUUCUCGCAGACCCACCACUGGCGAUGGGAGAGCUUGGUUCUCGGGUGUUGCUGUCUCAUUUUUCUGCUCAUGACUCGCUUCUUCAGCAAGAGGCGACCCAGGCUCUUUUGGGUGUCGGCUGCGGCACCGUUGGCGUCACUCGUUGUUGGAAGCAUCUUCGUGUACCUCAUCCAUGGCCAAAACCAUGGCAUCGAAGUGAUUGGUAACCUCAAGAAGGGCAUAAACCCGUCGUCCGCCAAGAGCUUGAUCUUGUCGCCGCCGCACAUGAUGGUCGCUCUCAAGACCGGCAUCAUCACCGGCCUCAUCGGCCUCGCCGAAGGGAUCGCCGUGGGGAGGAGCUUCGCCAUGUCCAAGAACUACCACGUGGACAACAACAAGGAGAUGGUCGCCUUCGGGCUGGCGAACAUCGUGGGGUCCUGCACCUCAUGCUACCUCACCACCGGCCCCUUCUCGCGCUCCGCCGUGAACGUCAACGCCGGCUGCAAGACCGCCAUGUCCAACGCGGUGAUGGCGGUGGCGGUGGCCGUGACGCUCCUCUUCCUGACGCCGCUGUUCCACUACACCCCGCUGGUGGUGCUGUCGGCCAUCAUCAUCUCGGCCAUGCUGGGCGUUUUUGACUUCCCCGCCGCCGUUCGCCUGUGGAAGGUGGACAAGCUCGACUUCUGCGCCUGCCUCGGCGCCUGCCUCGGCGUCGUCUUGGACAACAUCGGGAUCGGACUCUCCAUCGCGGUCGGGAUAUCGGUUGUCCGGAUCCUGCUGUUCGUGGCGCGGCCGAGGACGACGGCGCUCGGCAAGAUGCCCAACUCGACCAUGUACAGAAGGAUGGACCAGUACGCCAUGGCGGAGAGCGUGCCCGGAGUGCUGGUGCUGCAGGUCGACGCGCCCAUCUUCUUCGCCAACGCGAGCUACCUGCGAGAGCGGAUCUCGCGGUGGAUCAACGAGGAGGAAGAGCGGAUCAAGGCCACGUGUGAGCAGAGCCUACAGUGUGUCGUCCUGGACAUGGGUGCCGUCGCUGGCAUUGACACAAGCGGAACCAAGCUCAUAGAGGAUCUCAGCAAGAGCCUGCACAUGAAGAAUAUUCAGAUUGCACUGGCAAACCCAGGGAGUGAAGUGAUGAAGAAACUGGACAUGUCCAAGGUGCUCAUGCGCAUCGACGAUGAGUGGAUCUUUCAGAAGGUGGGUGACGCAUGCGACUACACGCUGCUCAACUGUAAGAUAGCAACUGUUCAACACAACAUUGUGUGA